This 152-nucleotide unclassified non-coding RNA is filed under the name soil metagenome. RNAcentral describes it as "partial internal transcribed spacer 1". The record is from RNAcentral.
GCGAGUAUGGCCCUCACGGGUCUAAUCCACCAUAAACACCUUUGUGAACCAGUCAGGGGGACUCGGCCGUGAAAGCCCAGGCGAUUAGCGGAAGGGCCCUCCUUUGCAAACCCGUUUAGAAGUCUUGAAAGUACUUUUGUAUAAUCUAGUAA